This 110-nucleotide ribosomal RNA is filed under the name Gracilibacillus oryzae. RNAcentral's name for it is "Gracilibacillus sp. TD8 partial 23S ribosomal RNA". It matches the Rfam family "Bacterial large subunit ribosomal RNA", at positions 2819 to 2925 of the family's 2925-position model. Lineage: Bacteria; Bacillati; Bacillota; Bacilli; Caryophanales; Bacillaceae. The record is from RNAcentral.
AUGUAAAUGAGUAAGAUCCCUCAGAGACGAUGAGGUAGAUAGGUUCGAGGUGGAAGCAUGGUGACAUGUGCAGCUGAUGAAUACUAAUCGAUCGAGGACUUAACUAAAUU